This 540-nucleotide long non-coding RNA is filed under the name Homo sapiens (human). Its description in RNAcentral is "HSALNT0394568". Lineage: Eukaryota; Metazoa; Chordata; Mammalia; Primates; Hominidae. The record is from RNAcentral.
AACAAGGCCACUUCACCAUCCCUGCAGUGAUUCCUCAGUAAUUCACCACCAGAAGCACCAUCACCUUCCUUCUGUGUCCCUCCACAAAGCCAGUUGGGACUUCUAGAUAUUUUUGAAGGCAUAUUGAACUAGAUGGUGUUCUAGGGUACUAAUUUCAAGCUGUUGUUCUCCUAACCAUGCCACCAUAGCAGCAAUUUUAUUCUGAUGCAUAGAUUUGUAUAGAGAGGGUAAGAAAUUAUUCCAUGAAGUGAUCCCUUCUCAGAAUUUUAAAUAAGAAAUGGAAAAACUUUCUGUACUCUCAGAGUUUUCAUAAUUUCCCCUGGGGUAGGAGGGCAGGUGCAGAAGGGAACGGAACAAAGAUAAAGAAACAGCCACGUGGACGUGUGGUGGAAGAUCGUUUGAAGGAGGAGAAGAGCAAGUCAAAGGCCCUGAGGCAAGAGCACACUGGGCAUGUUCAAGCAGCAGGAAAUGGGCUCUGUCCAGGCCACUGGACUCCACUGAUGUGCUGAAUAAGUGGAACUCGUCUUUUUGAAAUGAAUG